UGAAAAAGGAAUUUCCCUUCAAGACUAGCUUUCUUAACAAAACUGAAAAUUCUCAAAAAUCUGAAACCAUAAUACAAUAUCUUCCCUUCUUCAGUCCAGCAUACUCAAUUGAUGCAGCUCAUCUUAACACAAACUCUGCAACAACAUCUCACAGCACUGAUCAGUCUAAGAAAUCUGAUGAUAUGACAACAAAAGUAAAUAAAAAUGGAGGUGAAGGAUCAUGUGAUGAGCGGGUUCCAAGUGAAAAUCAAGAUGACAUUGAUAAUGAUCAAAUGAAACAUAGUGAGGUAGAUGAUGAUCGGAGAAUGGUAGAAUUGGGUAAACAGGUCAUAGAACAUCCUAUGACUACAAGAAGCAAAGGUGGUAUCUUUAAACCAAAAGUCUACUCAACUCAAUGUUGGGAGUACCAACUGAACACAGAAGAACCCAACAAUUUAUUUGAAGCUCUGUCAAGUAAACAGUGGAAAGAAGCAAUAGAGGAUGAAUGCAAGGCAUUGUUGAGGAAUGGGACCUGAAAACUAGUACCAACACUUGUUGAUCAGAAGGUGAUAGGAAACAAAUGGGUGUUUAGAACCAAAAAGAACAUUGAAGGGAAUGUAAGCCAGGUUGGUAGCUAAAGGUUUUUUGCAAACCCCAGGUGUUGAUUUUUAUGAGACCUUUAGCCCAGUGAGAAAACCCUCUACCCUAAGAAUAAUACUUACACUGGCAAUUUGGAAAGGGUAUUAGACAUGUUGACAUAAAUAAUGCUUUCCUAAAUGGAAAGCUAGAAGAAGAAGUGUACAUGAGCCAACCGGAAGGAUUUGUUGACAAGGCUAGUCUCACGUUUGUGUGCAAACUUGAGAAAGCGCUUUAUGGGCUUAAACAAGCACCCAGAGCAUGGUAUGAGAAAUUGAAGGAAACACUUCUAAAAUGGAAAUUUAUGAAGUCCAAAGCUGAAAUUCUGUAUUGUUUUACAUGAAUCAAGAACAACUCAUUUUUGCCUUAGUCUAUGUUGAUGACAUAGUAAUUACUGGAAAUGAUAAUAAAUUGUUGCAGUGCUUCAUUGACAAAUUAAACACUCAAUUUGCACUUAAGGACAUAGGUGAGUUACAUCAAUUUUUGGGAAUUGAAGUAAGUAGAUUUGAAACAGGGGUGCACCCUACUCAGAUCAAGUACACAAAAGACUUGUUGAAGAGGUUCAACUUUGAGAACCUCAAACCUUGUUCUAUUCCUAUGACAGUAGACAAGUAUAUUUCCAAAAAUGAGGGUAAAAAGAUGGUAAAUCCUUCCCUAUAUAGAGGUGCAAUAGGAGGAUUGCAACAUUUAGCACAUACAAAGCCUGACAUAACCUUUGAUGUGAACAAAAUGAGCCAAUUUUUGCAGGCACCUUCAAAUGUACACUGGAAGGCAAUAAAAAGGAUCUUCAUAUAUCUAAAAUGAACAAUUGAGCAAGGCCUUUGGAUGUAAAGAAGUGAUAGAAUACAAAUAACUAGAUUUUUGAUGCAGAUUGCUACUGUGUUUACUUGGGAGAUACUUUAGUUGUUCUUCCAAAAAGCAACAAGUUGUGGCAAGGUCCAACACUAAAUCAGAAUACAAAGCUCUAGCACGUGCAACUGCUAAAAUAGUUUGGAUAGAAUCAUUGCUCAAGGAAGUCAAACUAUAUCCUGGAUUAGUUCCCAUACUAUGGUGUGACAACCUCAGUGCAAGUGCAUUAGCCUCAAAUCUUGUCUAUCAUGCACGAACAAAGCAUAUUGAGCUCGAUAUACAUUUUGUCAGGGACAGAGUUCUUGAGAAGAAGUUAAGUAUACAAUAUGUUCCAUCUUCAGACCAAAUAGCAGAUUUGUUAACUGAGCCUCUUACACAAAUCAGAUUCCUAUUUCUUAAAGACAAGCUUGGAGUCAAGUAGUAAACUCUAGCUUGAGAGAGGAUGUUGAAAUACAAUUCAAACAAGCACACGUGAUUGAUUCAGCAAGUCGACAGCUA
RNAcentral lists this long non-coding RNA (1962 nucleotides) under Olea europaea subsp. europaea. Lineage: Eukaryota; Viridiplantae; Streptophyta; Magnoliopsida; Lamiales; Oleaceae. The record is from RNAcentral.